RNAcentral lists this ribosomal RNA (485 nucleotides) under uncultured bacterium. Its description in RNAcentral is "partial 16S ribosomal RNA". It matches the Rfam family "Bacterial small subunit ribosomal RNA", at positions 29 to 507 of the family's 1533-position model. The record is from RNAcentral.
AACGAACGCUGGCGGCGCGUCUUAACCAUGCAAGUCGAGCGGCAGGCAGCAAUGCCGAGAGCGGCGGACUGGUGAGUAACACGUGGAUAACGUACCCCGAUGUCCGGGACAGCCUGUAGAACUAGAGGGUAAUACCGGAUAGAUCACUGUUUACGUGAGGUAGACAGCGGGAAAGGAGCUUCGGCUCCGCGCCGGGAUCGGUCUGCGGCCCAUCAGCUGGCCGGCGGGGUAAGGCCCGCCGUGGCGAGGGCGGGUAUCCGGCCUGGGAGGGCGGACGGACACAUUGGGACUGGGAGACGGCCCAGACUCCUACGGGAGGCAGCAGGUAAGAAUAUUCCGCAAUGGGGGGAACCCUGACGGAGCGACGCCGCGUGAACGAAGAAGGCCGGAAGGUUGUAAAGUUCUUUUCUGUCCGAGGAAUAAGUUUCGGAGGAAAUGCCGGGACGGUGACGGUAGGGCAGGAAUAAGCACCGGCUAAUUACGUG